CAGAGGAGGUACCCAUGCAUCGUAGAUGCAUAUAAAAUGGUACCGACGAUAUGCCGCCCAAUGAAAUGAGGGGGCAAUACUUAAA
Molecule: small RNA, 85 nt
Organism: Coprococcus sp. CAG:782
Lineage: Bacteria; Bacillati; Bacillota; Clostridia; Lachnospirales; Lachnospiraceae
Rfam family: GA-cis RNA
Source: Rfam